UAACACGUGAGUAACCUGCCCUUCACUCUGGGAUAACUCCGGGAAACCGGUGCUAAUACUGGAUACGACCUGAACAGGCAUCUGUAUUGGGUGGAAAGAUUUAUUGGUGGAGGAUGGACUCGCGGCCUAUCAGCUUGUUGGUGAGGCAAUGGCUCACCAAGGCGACGACGGGUAGCCGGCCUGAGAGGGCGAUCGGCCACACUGGGACUGAGACACGGCCCAG
RNAcentral lists this ribosomal RNA (223 nucleotides) under uncultured bacterium. Its description in RNAcentral is "partial 16S ribosomal RNA". It matches the Rfam family "Bacterial small subunit ribosomal RNA", at positions 111 to 334 of the family's 1533-position model. The record is from RNAcentral.